Molecule: ribosomal RNA, 429 nt
Filed under: Gemmatimonadota bacterium
Lineage: Bacteria; Pseudomonadati; Gemmatimonadota
Description: Gemmatimonadetes bacterium partial 16S ribosomal RNA
Rfam family: Bacterial small subunit ribosomal RNA
Source: RNAcentral
UAGGGAAUCUUUGGCAAUGGACGAAAGUCUGACCGAGCAACGCCGCGUGAGUGAAGAAGGUUUUCGGAUCGUAAAACUCUGUUGUUAGCGAAGAACAAGGACGUUAGUAACUGAACGUCCCCUGACGGUAUCUAACCAGAAAGCCACGGCUAACUACGUGCCAGCAGCCGCGGUAAUACGUAGGUGGCAAGCGUUGUCCGGAUUUAUUGGGCGUAAAGCGAGCGCAGGCGGUUUCUUAAGUCUGAUGUGAAAGCCCCCGGCUCAACCGGGGAGGGUCAUUGGAAACUGGGAGACUUGAGUGCAGAAGAGGAGAGUGGAAUUCCAUGUGUAGCGGUGAAAUGCGUAGAUAUAUGGAGGAACACCAGUGGCGAAGGCGGCUCUCUGGUCUGUAACUGACGCUGAGGCUCGAAAGCGUGGGGAGCAAACAGG